RNAcentral lists this long non-coding RNA (916 nucleotides) under Gossypium barbadense (sea-island cotton). RNAcentral's name for it is "long non-coding RNA (GBAR_LNC018969)". Lineage: Eukaryota; Viridiplantae; Streptophyta; Magnoliopsida; Malvales; Malvaceae. The record is from RNAcentral.
UCAACAUUUACAUGUGUUGGUAUUAGGAGAAUAAAGUGAUUCUCUACUAAACUCAACAUUCGUGUUGUUGAGAUCUUCAUAACAUAUUUCAAAAAAAAAAAAAUAAAGGAUUUGAUUUGAUAUGGCUUGAUCUCAACUCCAAUCGAGGUUAGACUUUUUUGUUUCUAAUUAUUUCCUGUACCCUUUCUCCUUUAUAUGUGUAAUAGGCCCAAUUUUCCCAGGCUCGUAUGCAUAAACCAAAUAAAAGAAUAAAUAAAGUCCAAACAACUAUAGAGUCCAUUUACAUUUAUCCAAACGCCCUAAAUUACAUCAACCCAAUAAACCUAAAACUCAGCUAACCCAAGCCCAAAACCAAUGGCAGAGGAAGGGUCGGGAAACCCUAACAGCAUAUGGCCUCCAGCAGACCCCAGCAGCUGCUUGUCUCGGAACCGACCUCCACGAUGCUCGCCGUACCCCCACGUUCACCUGCAAAACAGAUUCAAGGAGUCCAAACAUUGUAAAACAACAAAAAAAAGGGGAAAUAAGUUGUUCUAGGUCUAUAAAAAGGCCAAUCUUUUGUAUUGAAAAGGGGAGAUUUUUUUUGGUAACAAAAAAGAAUACAAAUAAAAGAAAACAGAUUCGAAAAUUUUUGGAAAACGGAGGUGAUUAUUUUUUAGUUUACUUUGUGGGUGUUCGAUUUUAUUUACUUAUUUAUUAUUUAGUUUUUUAUUUUUAUUAUUUAUUAUUUAUUAUUUUUUAUUUAAAAUAUAAAAAGGGAGAAGGAAACUUGCCUUUUUCGCCGGAGUCGUCGAAUUGAGGCCGUCUCCGCCGCAAUCGGAGCAUUGGCACAAGAUGGAACGGCGGCUCAAGGGUUAAAAGAAAAACCCUAAACUGAGCAGGGUAGUUUUUUAGGGAAAAAUUGAAAUAAAAAUGUGUU